Molecule: long non-coding RNA, 1853 nt
Organism: Tribolium castaneum (red flour beetle)
Lineage: Eukaryota; Metazoa; Arthropoda; Insecta; Coleoptera; Tenebrionidae
Exons: 3
Source: RefSeq, a predicted model, not a curated record
ACUGUAUGGAGAGGUAGAUUAGCGGUACCAAAAAUAACAACAACCAUAAAGCUUUUCUUCAUGUUUUACGUCACUAUUUGACAUUCUGCAAUAUUGUUAUUAUCAAUAUCCUGAUUUUGAAUUUAUUGAAGUUGGUCACCUUAAGUUUAGCAGUUCAUUUGAGGGGUACUUCUUAUAGAAGGGUUAAGUUCUACAAAUUUCCAAAGUACGACGAAAAUAAGUCUCCCUGUUCUUUUUUGGGUUUGCAAAGUUUUCCCGAUUUUCUGAAUUAACCAAUAAAUGUAUUUUUUGAUGAAAUGUUGGGGGCGGCCAAAAAUUAAAUAUCUUGGGGCGGUAAUGAACCUAUAAAUAUGUUUUCAAGUUAUCACCACAAAGAGAUUAUUUUUGUUUCGCUGUUAGCGUGAGGACAAUAAUUCUUUUUUUAAAGAACAAAAUUAACUUUCCAAUGGUAAAGAACUAAUGAACAUAGGCGAAUAUGGCCAAUACUUCCAAAGUUAUUGGCGGAUACUUACACUAAAAAUCGAUUAAAAUCUCGACAAAAAUCGAAAAAAUCAAAAACUUUUUUUACACUUUCUAAAAGUCCCAGAGGCAUAAAAAAUGUACAAAAUGUUCCUAGACCGUCUGUUUUUAAUUCUCAAGUUGGGAUUUUUUUUAUUUAAACUAACAGAACUUAUAAAUCUCCAAUUAACAAUAUUUUUAAGGUACAACGUGGAGUUUGGUAGACCUUCUCGACUUCAUCGUUUACAACCUCCCCGCAUAUCUAAUUUACGUGUGUUCGAUUCACUGGAUUUCAAACAUUGCGAUAAUUCGCCUCCAGUUCAAAACCCUCAACAAAAUUCUCAAAAUAUUGCGUUACCAACAACCCUGGCUCACCGAAACUUAUCGUUUGCGCAAAAAGAAAUCAAUAUCUGGCAGAAUUUUGAUUCGUGAAUGUGGCACAUUUUACGACACUUUGUGCAUCCAAAGUGGAAAAAUAAACGAUGCAUUUGCCGCCCAAAUCCUACUCUUCAUUGCAAUGUUGCUUUUGUUGAUAAUUUUCGAUUCAUUUCAAACUUGUCGGAUGAUUCAGAAUUUAACACAAUUUGAUUGUGGAACUGUUAUUUACAAUAUUAUGUAUUUUGAGACCUUGAUGGAGCUGGUUUUGACGUGUAUUUCAAUCGAGUUCGAAGCGGCCCGAUUUGCCGAUAAUUUGCACAAAAUCAAUAAUGACGAAAUUGAAGAUGUGGUCAAUUUAUUGAUUCUGCAGAGUUAUCACCAAAGGGUUCAGUUCUCAAUCUGCGGUAUCUUCACUCUUGGUGGAAAAUUUAUUUAUUCGAUAUUUGGCGCACUGACCACUUUUCUUAUCAUGUUGCUACAAUUUGAAAUGUAAUUGUAAUAAAAUUAAUAUUUGUUUUUGUGGGCGAAAGCGUUAUGGUGCGCUACCGAACAACCACAAAACAUUUUUUCAAUGACCAACUUUCCAUCCGAUCGGAAGAAAAUGAAAGUUACUUUUUACUCAAUUGUUAAAAUAUAUAAAGAAUUCUCACUUAAAUUCUGUCAACACACUUCAAUCUCAACUGUACCAAAAUGAAUUACAAAAUCUUUAACGUUUUCGCUGUUUUAUUUGCCCUCGUUGCUGCAGCUCUGGCGGCCGUUGUCCCGGUGGAAAAUGUUGCCGAAGCUAGUGAUUAUCGUUUGAAAAGAGACCAUGGACACGGAGUAACCGGACCAGUGCACACUUAUGUGAAAACAGACAAGCAUGCCAACUUUAAAUGGGGUGUCAAGCACCACGUAGGACACCAUUACGCCGGUCGUCGCUAAAAAUCAUAUUUUUGUCCCCCUUUUGUACUUGUAAAUAAAAUACGUUUAAAAUC